Molecule: non-coding RNA, 860 nt
Organism: Parasteatoda tepidariorum (common house spider)
Lineage: Eukaryota; Metazoa; Arthropoda; Arachnida; Araneae; Theridiidae
Source: RefSeq, a predicted model, not a curated record
GUGACCAUUGGUACUUCGAGAUAGAUUUGAGAGAAAGGAAACUUCUGGCCAAGUCCAAUAAAGUAAAGGACUCAUUGAAUAUUGUUGUUGGAUUACAGAGAUGCGGCGAUGUUUCUCGUUUGACAAAAAAUCUGGAGGAAAAAUUGGCUCAAAACCCAGAUUUUGCCGAGAAAAGAGAAAUGGCCAGAAAGAGAGAGAAGAAAGGUUUCCGCUUCACUGUGAGACGCCUGUUUUCUGGGUGUUUCACACGGAAAUAAACUGCGUGAACCCAAAAUUAAACAUACCACGAUUUAAGACGAUAUAUCCCGACUGUGACAUCUCCCGUCUCUGUGACUCAAAACUUCGAUAUUACCCGAAUAAAGACUUACCUGAACUAGACAAAAGUUUCCGAAUAUGUGACUAUAGGAGUAUGAAGUAGUGACUGUAAAAGUACUGAAUGUAGACUGCGUUGCUCAAAUGUGAUAUUCUUAAAAUGGACUAUAUUGCCCAAUUGUGUGACUUUUAAAAUAGACUAUGCACAAUUGUGUGAUUUUUAAAUGGACAAUGCAUAAUUGGGUGAUUUUUUAAGAACAAUUUUUCUGAUUUUGUGACUUUUUCUGACUGUGACAUUUCCCGAAUUAGACGACACGUCCUGAAAGUGAAUGGAAUAAGUAACUUUUCAAAGUUGCCCUUUUCUGAACCUAUGACUUCUAAAUUAGUGAGUACAAAACUGUAUGACUCCUAAAAUAUAUGACAUUACUAACUGUAUGACUACCGAAUUUUACCAUCUUUGAUUACGAAUUGUUCCUUUAUUUAUUAAAACUGAAUGUAUGCCUGUAAAAUUAACUCAAAGUACAAUAAAUGGAACAUGUUUAAAGUUU